Molecule: non-coding RNA, 130 nt
Organism: Spea bombifrons (plains spadefoot toad)
Lineage: Eukaryota; Metazoa; Chordata; Amphibia; Anura; Pelobatidae
Product: small Cajal body-specific RNA 15
Exons: 1
Source: RefSeq, a predicted model, not a curated record
ACGGAGGACUAAGAAAGUAGUUCCUAGCAAGUUACUUGGAUGCUACUGAUACUAUCCUCCAACAGAAAGUGGUAGACGAACAGGCCUGGUUGCAAGCAAUACUCAGGACCUACUCAGUUUACCCACACUU